AUGGAGAAACUCCUGACCGUGUCUUUGGUGAUUCUGUGGCUUCAGCUGGCCAGGGUGAAUAGCCAGCAAGGAGAAGAGAAUCUUCAGGCCCUGAGCAUCCAGGAGGGUGAAAAUGCCACCAUGAACUGCAGUUAUAAAACUACUAUAGACACCUUACACUGGUACAGACAGGAUUCAAAGAGAGGCUUUGCCCACCUGAUUUUAAUACGUUCAAAUGAGAGAGAGAAACGUAGUGGAAGACUGCGAGUCACGCUAGACAACUCCAUCAAAAGCAGUUCCCUGUCCAUCACGGCUUCCCAGGCUGCAGACACUGCUACUUACCUCUCUGUGGUUAGUGGGGGC
Molecule: non-coding RNA, 342 nt
Organism: Balaenoptera ricei (Rice's whale)
Lineage: Eukaryota; Metazoa; Chordata; Mammalia; Artiodactyla; Balaenopteridae
Source: the annotation of a RefSeq genome assembly